GAAUAGGUUGGCACCUUGACGGUACCUAACCAGAAAGCCCCGGCUAACUACGUGCCAGCAGCCGCGGUAAUACGUAGGGGGCAAGCGUUGUCCGGAAUUAUUGGGCGUAAAGCGCGCGCAGGCGGUCCUUUAAGUCUGAUGUGAAAGCCCACGGCUUAACCGUGGAGGGCCAUUGGAAACUGGAGGACUUGAGUACAGAAGAGGAGAGUGGAAUUCCACGUGUAGCGGUGAAAUGCGUAGAGAUGUGGAGGAACACCAGUGGCGAAGGCGACUCUCUGGUCUGUAACUGACGCUGAGGUGCGAAAGCGUGGGUAGCGAACAGGAUUAGAUACCCUGGUAGUCCACGCCGUAAACGAUGAGUGCUAGGUGUUAGGGGGUUUCCGCCCCUUAGUGCUGAAGUUAACGCAUUAAGCACUCCGCCUGGGGAGUACGGCCGCAAGGCUGAAACUCAAAAGAAUUGACGGGGACCCGCACAAGCGGUGGAGCAUGUGGUUUAAUUCGAAGCAACGCGAAGAACCUUACCAGGUCUUGACAUCCUCUGACACCCCUAGAGAUAGGGCAUUCCCUUCGGGGACAGAGUGACAGGUGGUGCAUGGUUGUCGUCAGCUCGUGUCGUGAGAUGUUGGGUUAAGUCCCGCAACGAGCGCAACCCUUGAUCUUAGUUGCCAGCAUUUAGUUGGGCACUCUAAGGUGACUGCCGGUGACAAACCGGAGGAAGGUGGGGGAUGACGUCAAAUCAUCAU
RNAcentral lists this ribosomal RNA (743 nucleotides) under Virgibacillus dokdonensis. Its description in RNAcentral is "bacterial SSU rRNA". It matches the Rfam family "Bacterial small subunit ribosomal RNA", at positions 447 to 1196 of the family's 1533-position model. Lineage: Bacteria; Bacillati; Bacillota; Bacilli; Caryophanales; Bacillaceae. The record is from RNAcentral.